This 492-nucleotide ribosomal RNA is filed under the name uncultured bacterium. Its description in RNAcentral is "partial 16S ribosomal RNA". It matches the Rfam family "Bacterial small subunit ribosomal RNA", at positions 29 to 507 of the family's 1533-position model. The record is from RNAcentral.
AGUGAACGCUGGCGGUAGGCCUAACACAUGCAAGUCGAACGGCAGCACAGUAAGAGCUUGCUCUUACGGGUGGCGAGUGGCGGACGGGGGAGGAAUACAUCGGAAUCUACUUUUUCGUGGGGGAUAACGUAGGGAAACUUACGCUAAUACCGCAUACGACCUACGGGUGAAAGCAGGGGAUCUUCGGACCUUUCGCGAUUGAAUGAGCCGAUGUCGGAUUAGCUAGUUGGCGGGGUAAAGGCCCACCAAGGCGACGAUCCGUAGCUGGUCUGAGAGGAUGAUCAGCCACACUGGAACUGAGACACGGUCCAGACUCCUACGGGAGGCAGCAGUGGGGAAUAUUGGACAAUGGGCGCAAGCCUGAUCCAGCCAUACCGCGUGGGUGAAGAAGGCCUUCGGGUUGUAAAGCCCUUUUGUUGGGAAAGAAAAGCAGCAGGUUAAUACCCCGCUGUUCUGACGGUACCCAAAGAAUAAGCACCGGCUAACUUCGUG